Molecule: RNase P RNA, 332 nt
Filed under: uncultured Bulleidia sp.
Lineage: Bacteria; Bacillati; Bacillota; Erysipelotrichia; Erysipelotrichales; Erysipelotrichaceae
Description: Bacterial RNase P class B
Rfam family: Bacterial RNase P class B
About the family: Ribonuclease P (RNase P) is a ubiquitous endoribonuclease, found in archaea, bacteria and eukarya as well as chloroplasts and mitochondria. Its best characterised activity is the generation of mature 5'-ends of tRNAs by cleaving the 5'-leader elements of precursor-tRNAs. Cellular RNase Ps are ribonucleoproteins.
Source: RNAcentral
CGGCAGUCGCUGACGUAAAUACGUUAGAGGAAAGUCCAUGCUCGCACAUUCUGCGAUGAAUGUAGUGUUUGUGCCAAUCUAAAAAAUAAGGUUGGGCAGUUCAUAAGAAUUGACGGCGGAGAGAAUACCUAAGGGCAACUAUGGUAGGAUCCCAUAAAGUGUCACAGUGACGAAGUUAAUGGGAAACCAUUAAGUGGAACGCGAUAAACCCCACAAGCGAGAAAUCCAAAAUUGGUAGGAGAACUUCCUGAGGUGAAAUGAAACUAGAUGGAGGCUACAUAGUAGAGAUAAAUGGCUGCCACUUUCACUAGAAAGUACAGAACAUGGCUUAU